This 2201-nucleotide long non-coding RNA is filed under the name Triticum aestivum (bread wheat). RNAcentral describes it as "long non-coding RNA (TAES_LNC002235)". Lineage: Eukaryota; Viridiplantae; Streptophyta; Magnoliopsida; Poales; Poaceae. The record is from RNAcentral.
CUAGAUCACCAACUGCACAUCCCACUGCCUGCGAAACCCGCUGCCGGCCUGUCACAGCUUCACAUUAUUUGGCGGAUCUUCACCCAUCAGCAUGUUCAUAAAACUGUCAGGCAGCCUCUGCAGUUUGGGACAAUGAGUGAUGUAGCAAACAACAGAUAUCAUAAUGAGUUGGGUGAAGGGGAGAUCUCUCGUUUUAUAUACCUGCAUCAUGAAUGAUACUGAAGUCUCAAGCAUGAAAGUGAAGAACUCAGAAGCAUCCAACUCGUACUGCGGUGUCGCAGAGCGGCAGUGGCUGCUUCCCGCCAUUUUUGAUAAGCAGCAGAAGAGACCAAUUAAUACCCUUACAAUAAAUCAUAAAACAUGCAUGAUAACAGGCAUUAGUCGCAAGUACCCCAUAUGUCCUAUUUUUAGCAAAUUCAUGCUAAAAUUCACGUAAAAUUUCAGCAUGACCUUUGCUGAAAAUAAGACAUAUGGAGUACCCGAAUUUACCGGAACGGAAGUUAAUCGACAUUCCGGCAAACUCAAGGGCCUCUCGGGGUACCUGCAAUUUCAUGAUAAACUGCCAACAACAUAGCAAGCCAGAAGAUACAAGUUAAACUUAAGCUAGAGAUACAAGUUGAACACACACCAAGCAGUUUUUAUAAUAUUAAGCUAGAAGAUACAAGUUGAACACACACCAGACAGUAAGCUUAACAAGAUACACACAGUCUUGGUGCAGGCCAGGAUUAAUAGUUUCCUCACUAACAAAUGUUAUCACCAUAAUUAGCUAAAACUAAGAUAUUUUAAAACAGUCAUUACAAGUUAGAUUUGUGACAGCAAGCAAACGGUACCAGGAGGAAAUUUCCAUUAUUUUGAUAGUCCAAGUCAAAACAAAAAGUCUGAAAAAUAGACAUUAUAAGAAAGAUGAUGCUGGAAAGGGGGUUUUAUUUCCAGCAUCAUUCUCUCCAAUAUGGCAUGAAAGGAAAAAGGAAGGGUUUUCUGGACAACACGAUCCCCCGGUUAAAUUCGUUCGUGUUGGAGCAAACAUUUUGACACCAUGCCCGGUAUAACCCCUAGGUAUUUGAUGGAAGAAAUUACCACAGUGGCAAAUAACUGAACAUUCACACUCUGUUUUAACUGAAUAUAUAUGUGGAAAAAACAGAACCUUUACACUCCGUUCCUGUGUGUGAAAAUAUGCUCUAUAGGUGAAAGAACAGACCAUACUCAGUGCAAAAAUUGAACCGUUCACAGUCUGUUUAAACUGAAAAAAGAAUGAACACCUACUCAUAUUCAGUGAAAAAACUGAAUAUACGCCCAUAUUCAGUGCAGAAACUGAAUACAUAUUCUCGUUCCGGUGCAUAAACUGAAUAUAUAUGCUCAUUUUUCAGUGUAGAAAGUGAAUAUAUUCAGUGCAGAAGGUGAUUACUUGUUUAAAGUGAAUAUGUAUGGCAUCUUUGUGUCCAAAGUCCGGGCUUUGCUUUGUUUCAACUGAAGAAACUGAACAUUUGCUUGUAUCCAGUGCAAAAACAGAAUGUAUUGUACGUUCUAGUGCACAAAUUGAAGAUUGGCUUUUUUUUUAAGUGCUAAACCUGAAUAUACGUGCAUGAUAUGUUUGUUUGCAAAGCCUUAGCCUUAACUCCCCAAACCAUAGACCAUUUCAUAUUCAUAUUAGUAACAAAAAUAACCAUGAUGAAGCCACACUUGUCUAUGAAUCUUCCAUGUGCCUAGCAGCAGGCCUGGUUACUUAUUCGGUGGUAAUGGAAUCUACGGGCAUGUGGCUGCCGCCCUCACUAACAAAUGUAGAUUAGGAGCAAGAAGAGUCGGCCCUAGGGUUUGCAGGGGAGGAGAUGGAGAAGUGGAGAAGAGGUAGGAAUCACCUCGAACCAGCGGAGGAGGACGUCGAUGUUCUUGCGGCGGUGGGGCGUUGAAGACCUGGCGGCGAGGUUCCUCCUCUCGGUGGCGGCGGGGCUCCUUCCCUCGGUGGCGGCGGUGGCCUCUUCCCCUCGGUGGCGGCGGCGGGGCUCCUCCUCUCCUUGUGGAGGCGGGGCGUUGAUCCGGCGGUGGCGCUGGAACCCUAGCGCUGGCCCUGCUUGUCGGAGCACCUCGUCGGAGCGGGGGAGGCGGCGGGGGCACGGGGACGGCGGCGGCGCAGUACGGGUCGGGGCAGUGGGCGGGUGAGAGAUGUGAUCGAUUGGGGAUAAAAAGGGGACUGAGGAUUUUAG